Molecule: ribosomal RNA, 403 nt
Filed under: uncultured Glomeromycotina
Lineage: Eukaryota; Fungi; Glomeromycota
Description: SSU rRNA
Rfam family: Eukaryotic small subunit ribosomal RNA
Source: RNAcentral
AGCAGCCGCGGUAAUUCCAGCUCCAAUAGCGUAUAUUAAAGUUGUUGCAGUUAAAAAGCUCGUAGUUGAAUUUCGGGAUUGACACAUCGGUCGUGCCUUAAGGGGUAUGAACUGGUGUAGUCAAUUUCUCACCUUCUGGAGAACCACGAUGCCCUUAAUUGGGUGUCGCGGGGAACCAGGACCUUUACUUUGAAAAAAUUAGAGUGUUUAAAGCAGGCAUUUUGCUUGAAUACAUUGGCAUGGAAUAAUAAAAUAGGACGUGCGGUUCUAUUUUGUUGGUUUCUAGGACCGCCGUAAUGAUUAAUAGGGAUGGUUGGGGGCAUUGGCAUUCAAUUGUCAGAGGUGAAAUUCUUGGAUUUAUUGAAGACUAACUACUGCGAAAGCAUUUGCCAAGGAUGUUUUC